ACGCACGCUGGCGGCGUGCUUAACACAUGCAAGUCGAACGGAAAGGCCCUGCUUUUGUGGGGUGCUCGAGUGGCGAACGGGUUAGUAACACGUGAGUAACCUGCCCUUGACUUUGGGAUAACUUCAGGAAACUGGGGCUAAUACCGGAUAGGAGCUCCUGCUGCAUGGUGGGGGUUGGAAAGUUUCGGCGGUUGGGGAUGGACUCGCGGCUUAUCAGCUUGUUGGUGGGGUAGUGGCUUACCAAGGCUUUGACGGGUAGCCGGCCUGAGAGGGUGACCGGCCACAUUGGGACUGAGAUACGGCCCAGACUCCUACGGGAGGCAGCAGUGGGGAAUAUUGCACAAUGGGCGGAAGCCUGAUGCAGCAACGCCGCGUGCGGGAUGACGGCCUUCAGGUUGUAAACCGCUUUCGCCUGUGACGAAGCGUGAGUGACGGUAAUGGGUAAAGAAGCACCGGCUAACUACGUG
This 467-nucleotide ribosomal RNA is filed under the name uncultured bacterium. RNAcentral's name for it is "partial 16S ribosomal RNA". It matches the Rfam family "Bacterial small subunit ribosomal RNA", at positions 29 to 507 of the family's 1533-position model. The record is from RNAcentral.